GGAUUUGGUGGAGAUUGAAGCUUGGAGGUGGAUCGCCUUCGUCUUCUUCAUCUUCUCCAUGGUUUGGAGCUCAUUUUGAGGUGAGCUUCUUGAGCCCUUUAAUGGUAGAUCUUUAAUGCUUGGUUUAAAUACCUUAUAAAUGGAUUUAGAGGAGUCCUAGCAUGCUAUCUAGAUGAUUAAUGCUUGAAUCAUGGAUCAAUUUAGUGAUUUCUUGCAUAGUUGUAACCUAGGGCUCCAAAAUGCAAGCUUUCAAAAUAUGAGGGUUUGAUCUCAUUUGACCCUUCGUAAACCUAAUUGCUAGGUAACGAAACGCGUUGGCGAAGGCGGUUCGGCAAUCCGACGAGCCGUUACAAAGUUAUUAAAGAAAUAGACGUUUAGGUUUCGGGUCCGCCGGGAGGGCCGAGGCGACGUCGUAAAAUCAUGGAAAUGGAUUUGAGGCAUCGUGGCACAUAACCGAAGACCUAUAAUUUUCGGGGCUGCGAAGCGGAGCACGGUUGAGGCGCAGUUGCAGUAUCGGGCCGUGCCAGAUACGGGUGCCGCGGGAGGCCGAUUGCAAGUGUCGACAAGCAAUCGGAACGCGAAUUAAGGUGGGUUGGUUUACCGAAGCGACUAGGUCGCCUAUAUGUCUAAGUGAUAGACUUUCAUGUUGAUGCAUGUUAAUAAUAACAUAGAUGAUGCAUGUGAUAGAAUGCUAAGUAUAAGCAUGUAAAAUGAUGUUAGUUAAUGACAUGACAUAAAGGAUAUUUGUAUGCCAACAUAAAGUAGAAAGCAUGCUUAAUGUUGUAGUAUAAAGCAUAACGACAUAGAGUGAAUAAUGAAAGGCUAAGAAUGCUAAGUAGAGAGCAUGUGAAGUAAAGUAUAUAAAUGCUAUGUGAUGAUGCAUGUGAACUAAAUGUAAGAGUGCUAGAGUGAAUGCAUCAAAUAAUGAUAAGCUAAGAAUGCUAAGUAUAAGUGAUAAGUAUAAUAUGGAAAUACUAAAUGCAAGUACAUGGUAGGAAUGCUAAGUAAAGGGCAAGUAUAGGUGGACAUGAAUUAACCUAUAGAUCGAGUGGCAUUAAACCUAGUGUCAAGAACAUAGGUUGAACAAGUGUGACAUGAACCUAAUGUUAGAUAACAUAGGUUGUGAGUUAAAGAUAAUAACCUAGAGUUAAAGUAAACCUAGGUAUUGUGGUAAAAGUGGUUAACCUAGAGUUAAGUGAAUCUAGGUUGGAAAGAAUGAUGAUCCUAGUGUAAUGGACCUAGGCUAAGAAUGUGAAAGCAAUAAACCUAAUGUAGUAAUAUAGGUUGAGUAAAGGCUUAGACCUAGAGAGGUCAGUUCCAUAGGGUUAAGACCAACCCUUGGUAAAUGUGAUAUGGAUUCCGGAAUCCCAAAGCUUGCUGAUACACCCAAAGUGGUGUCGGGUGUGUGCGACGAUUUCGCCGCCCAGGGGCUAAUGAACCAUUGUCGUGGCGUGUGUGCGACGAUUUCGCCGCCGGAUGGUUAGCCAGUUUGUGGAUCCUACCGCCUGUUGACUGAACCACUGUCGUGGCGUUUGUGCGACGAUUUCGCCGCCGGGUGGCUAAGUCAUGGACCUAGGCCGUUGUUGGGUGAGGUGCGAUUCGUUCGCCGCCAGACGGCUAGGACAGGAGUACGGUGAGCUGUUGCCAGCUGAGGUGCAUGUGAGAGUUCCUUCACCUCGAGCUAGACAGUGCGCGGACUAUCCGCGAUUGAUUGACUCAAGACCGAGUCGGGUGGCAUAGAGAACUAAGGUAAGAGAAACCUUAGGAAAGAAUGGCCAGUGGAAAAGUGCGACAAAGUGUAAAGAAUAAAGAAUAAGUAAAGAAUAAAGAUCGGCUAAGGAAUAAGAAUAGCUGAUAAGUAAAGAAAGGUUACAAGUAAAGAAUAGCUAAGAGCUAAAAGUAAACAUUAAAUGACAAGAGUAAAGAAUGAUUAAGAAUAUAAGUAGCGUUAAAGUAACCUACUUGCAUGAUUACAGGUAUUGCAUAUUGCAUUUCGUGAGGCAUGACAUGUAUUUCAAUUGAAUAUAUAUAUCUGUUGUAUAUUGUUGAACUAACAUGUUGCAGUGCCUCGUUAGACCUGUUGGUUGAGCUGGUUCUCUUGGGUGGCUAAACCCACUGAGGACUAUGGACAAUAGUCUCACCCCCGUGUUGCUAUUUUGGGGGUACAGGUACACACGUGUGCAGCGCGGCGGCACAAGGCGAGGGCGUAGUUCUGCAGAUAGCGCCCUACCCCAGAGACCAGAGCUAGCAGUACCCCAUCUAUAUAGCUUAGGGGUAAAGGAAAUGAAAAGAAUACAAUGUAUCAAACUUGUAGUAAGUAAAUGUUGUAAUAACUUAGAUUGCAUUUGGAUGAAAAAGAAUGGAAACUGUGAUGUAAAAACUAUGAAAGUGAAUGAAUGUAAUAACUUAGGAUGUGUUUAUGUUGUAUAAUACCUUCCACUUGCAAUCUUGAUUGAUAUCUGUUCUUGGUUGGAACCUUCGUGAAUUGUAUUGAUUGCGAUGUCUUAAAUGUACAGGGGAGACUCUGUCCGUAGUACAGGGGAAACCCUAUCCAUUCGGCGAUGUCGGCGGCGCCGGGACCUCGGCCAAAUAGGCGGGUGGUCGCGGGCUGUGAC
Molecule: long non-coding RNA, 2615 nt
Filed under: Ananas comosus (pineapple)
Lineage: Eukaryota; Viridiplantae; Streptophyta; Magnoliopsida; Poales; Bromeliaceae
Description: long non-coding RNA (ACOM_LNC044482)
Source: RNAcentral